UAUGAUGUUGCUCCAACACUACUGUUUAUUUCUGGGGGGUUUUUGCAGCUCCUUGAUAUACAUAUAUUUACUUACGGUAAUUCAGGUUUUUAAAAAAUAUAUAAUUAUCAUGUACUGCAUUGUACUGCUGCCUCAAAGCUAACAAAUUUCACGACAUAUGCCGGUGUUGUUAAACCUGAUUCUGAUUCAUAUGCAUACUAUAAGGCCGAUCUUUGUUGUCCAUUUGCAGGACUGAGUCACGAUCUGGAGGUCCUCAACAGGGCAGGGCCCAUGCACAUGGAGACCAUGAUUGUAACUGCACAUACGCAUGAGGGAUUGCCAAAUCCCCAAGCAGCUACUAUACGCUGACAUGGGAUCAUUCACGUCAGAUGGUAGAGCAAUCGGAAUGUUUCUCCAGAGCCCCUAUGAUCACUCAAUGACGCAGAAUCCUGGAAUUGCCGCUUCGGAACAAGGCAGGUGGGGCUUGUCAGACUUGAACAGCAGCAACCGCCUCCUCCCCCAGCCCAGGAGAAGGUUUCAAACCUGAUUUCAAACCUCCGCUGCCUCGCGGCCAGACACACCCAUGGGAAAGGCUUCGGGAGUAAACUGCGAGGAAGAAAUCCGGAGCCGGGGUCCCUAAGGCAGUUUGAUGUUGUUUACAACUUCACUCUGGUGACCUCUGUGAUGACACUGGCGCCUGCCCUUACCUUGGACUACAUCAGUGACGUGGAGAGGGGGAACCGACUGCAUGGGCAACAGCCGGUUCUUCGAAUCUUCCCAUCCAGGCAUGCACCCUGGAGAGGAGACAACAGUCCACCAG
This is a long non-coding RNA of Hypanus sabinus (Atlantic stingray), 799 nucleotides long. RefSeq lists it as uncharacterized. The transcript has 3 exons. The record is from RefSeq and is a predicted model, not a curated record. NCBI's taxonomy places the organism in Eukaryota, Metazoa, Chordata, Chondrichthyes, Myliobatiformes, Dasyatidae.